Hippocampus comes (tiger tail seahorse) is the source of this 254-nucleotide long non-coding RNA. RefSeq lists it as uncharacterized. The transcript has 2 exons. NCBI's taxonomy places the organism in Eukaryota, Metazoa, Chordata, Actinopteri, Syngnathiformes, Syngnathidae. The record is from RefSeq and is a predicted model, not a curated record.
AUUGAGAGACGACACUACCUCGGGGGAGGAGAGAAUCAUGGAGGAGGACUUGGAACGCUUCUUGCGGUCAAGAAAUGUCCCUCACGUGGACUUUACGCACAUGAAAAGCGACAAGGUUGACAUGGCAGUAAUUUCUCUGAUGACUGAAGAGCAAAUGGGCAAAUAUAUCACUUCCUAUGGUGAUCGAAUAGCUGUCCUUUGCUUUUGUCAACAAAAAAUGUCCAGUGGUGAUAAUGAAAUGCUCCUCCAAAGAU